AGGAAUAUUGGUCAAUGGACGGAAGUCUGAACCAGCCAUGCCGCGUGAAGGAUGAAGGCGUUCUGCGUUGUAAACUUCUUUUAUCUGGGAAGAAACCACAGAUUUCUAUUUGUGUUGACGGUACCAGAGGAAUAAGCACCGGCUAACUCCGUGCCAGCAGCCGCGGUAAUACGGAGGGUGCGAGCGUUAUCCGGAUUUACUGGGUUUAAAGGGUGCGUAGGCGGGCUAUUAAGUCAGAGGUGAAAUCUCCGGGCUCAACCUGGAAACUGCCUUUGAUACUAUUAGCCUUGAAUUAUGUUGAGGUUGGCGGAAUAUAACAUGUAGCGGUGAAAUGCUUAGAUAUGUUAUGGAACACCGAUUGCGAAGGCAGCUGGCUAAACAUAUAUUGACGCUGAUGCACGAAAGCGUGGGUAGCGAACA
RNAcentral lists this ribosomal RNA (420 nucleotides) under uncultured bacterium. Its description in RNAcentral is "bacterial SSU rRNA". It matches the Rfam family "Bacterial small subunit ribosomal RNA", at positions 357 to 774 of the family's 1533-position model. The record is from RNAcentral.